AGCGACUCCGAUUCACGCGAUUAAUUUCUAUCAUGGAGCAAAUAAAGGAGAAUGAACGUCGCCUCAUGGAUGACGUCGCGACGUCAUCGAUAGCUCGGAGAACGUAGAAUCGGUCGGGGUGGGGCCUGUUGCUCACAGAAUCGUGAAUGUGCGUAACCCGUUCGUUCGGUUGAUCAGUGAGAAAACGCGCGUGGAAUGCUUUGGUCGUGUGGUAUCGCGCAGUCGCUCGCGCGAGUGUUUCAAUGUGAAUGAGGUUGUCUUAUUGUACGAGUGUCCCUUUACAGUAGUAUAGUAUAUAAGGUGAUCGGUAAUGAAUAAAUAAGCAAAAAAGUGUAUAGUAAGUGUAUAGUGUAAUAAAUAGAAGAGGCGAAAAUGGUGCGAAUUUCUGAAGCAAUCGCGGUGUUUGUCGUAUUCACGCUACAUCGAGCAAGCUCAAUAGAAGAAGAUACAGAUGCGACAAUUGAAGCUGAUGAUCUGCUUAUAAACGAAGGUGAUUUGUUGGAGAUCAAGUGCACUGGCUUUGAAAGGAUUUCCUUCAUUUAUCCUGAAGAUUUGAAUAAUGCGACCGCCGUAACGCACAUGCGAGAAGAAACCGAGAACGGCAGUCAUAUCUUCGUCUUUCAGCAUAAAACUGUUCAUGAGGAUACAGGAUUCUACGGUUGUCCUGGAAAUACUUUACAAGUUAUCUCACAUCCUGGCUUUACAACGUCUAAAAGCAUGGUAUAUGUUUACGUUCAAUCAAGUGCAAGUCCGUUCGUAAAAGCGGAGAGUUUUGCUUCAAGGCACGCGGCGGUCGGUAGAACAGCUGUGAUACCGUGCAGACCAACAUCGCCCAAUUUCACAGUUCAUCUUCUCUUCGACGAGUUUCCGGUGGAGCAAACGAAUUUCGAUCCGAGGAUUGGUUUUACAUUUACAAAUGUAACGCUGAAAGACGGCGGGUACUACAAAUGCAUUAUAUUUCAAGCCGAGGAGUCCCACGAUGUCAUUUACUUCCUCUCGGUGCAUUCCACGCCAGAAUUGAGCGCGCCAAAAAUUAUAGGGGAUACUAUGCGUCACGUAACGCGAGGCCAAACUCUACGCGUAAACUGCACCAUCACCGUUGAUGCAGACUUGACUUACAGUUUAAUUUGGAAUGCGCCACAGAAGAACAGCAGAAUUAGUAAUAACAGUUAUACAAAAAAAGCCGGCCCGACGGUGAAUGCAGUUACCGAAUUGGUUAUAGAAGAUGUUAAGGAUGAGGAUGAAGGAUGGUACGAAUGUAUUAUCAAGUCCUAUCAUGACUCGCGCAAAACAAAAAAGUACAUCAAGGUUCAUGACCCGGAGAACAAGUUUAUCAAUCUAACAGUCAAGGAUGCUCACAGGCAUUAUCACCGCCAAGAAGGUGAUAAUAUACAAUGGACUGUAUACGUGCAUGCCUAUCCAGAACCUAUCCUUAAAUGGUUAAAUACGAAAGGUGAGGAAAUCAUAGGAAUAGGGAAAUACGAAAUAAAAUCGACACCCAAUCAUACCACUCUGAAGAUUAAUCAUUUAAAUAUCGAAGAUAUGGGAGAAUAUUCUCUUCAGGCCACUAACCAAGACAAAUCCGAAAUGUUGAAUUUCACAUUAGAUGUAAUAGUGAAACCUGUGCCAAUGUUGAAAGUAAAACCUUAUUACGCUCCUAAUCAGACAGUAGAAAUCUCUUGCGACGUGGCAGCCUAUCCAACACCAAAUAUUACGUGGACUUUCUACAAGUGUCCCUAUUAUCCUUCUUACGAAGACGCGGACAAAAUAGAAUUGCAGAACGAAACGCAGAGCGGAAUGAACACCAGAUUUCGGUCAACGGUGAGGAUGACUAUCGAGAUGAGCGGCUAUCUUACUUGCACCGCGUGCAAUCUCAUUGGAUGCGAAUCUCACGUUGAAACUAUUUUGGUUUCGGAUGGCAACGGUGGUUUCGGUAUAAUCGAGCCAACAGACCCAGUGGUUGAAGGUGACGAUUUGACGGAACUGAUUUGCGCCGCCUCUAUUUACAAUUAUACGAAUAAUUUCGAAUGGAAAUAUUCCAGCGGUUCACCCAUUGAGUUAAGUAAUAGAAUAAUGAUCGAACAAGCCAAGACACGAUUCACUUAUCGUUCCAUCUUAAAAAUAAAAAAUGUAACAAAAGAGGACUCGACGAUGUAUACGUGCAGCAAUAAGGAAGAAAUGGAGUAUUUCCUUCAAGUACACGAUGCAGUACUGCCUCAAAUGAUGGAAACUAAUUUAAAUGGAACUGAAAUCACAGUCGAUAUUAGCACUCAGGGUCGUAAGGAGAUAAUACUCCAGUGCUUCGUAACUGGAAUGCCUAAACCAUUAGUUACUUGGUAUAGGGACGACACACCGUUAAAACUAGGCGAGCAAUUUAUGUGCAUCCGUCAUCGCCAAGAAUUGCAUAUUUAUUACCUUGAGGAUACUGAUAGCGGGAUAUACACGUGUAAAGCAAAGAAUCGAUUGGGAUCAGUUCAGGCCUCCAUAAAAAUAAUAGCGAAAGGAAAAGAACUUCCCAAGGAAUUGAUUAUACUGAUCAUCGUCUUACUGAUCACGGUAGUGGUGUUGGUCAUUUACUUCACGAUCAAGAUCCGCCGUGAAAAGACUAUGAGAAAAGAAUUAAUGGAAGCAGGAUUGAUGCAUUUCGAAGAAGGAGCAGUGGAAUGCUUGAAUCCCGAGUUAACGGUGGACGAUCAAGCUGAAUUGCUCCCUUACGAUAAGAAAUGGGAAUUUCCCCGUGAGAAAUUGAAAUUGGGGAAACAAUUGGGAAGCGGAGCUUUUGGCGUCGUUAUGAAGGCGGAAGCAGAAGGAAUUUGCGAGAACGAACCGGUUACGACUGUGGCUGUAAAAAUGGUUCGACGAACAACGGUGCCAACGUGUGUUCGUGCCCUUGCCAGCGAGCUGAAAAUUAUGGUGCAUCUUGGAAAGCAUUUGAACGUUGUUAAUCUUCUCGGUGCUUGCACGAAAAACAUUUCUAAACGUGAAUUAUUAGUGAUCGUAGAAUAUUGCCGAUUUGGGAAUUUGCACAAUUAUUUACUACGGCAUAGGGCUGACUUCAUCAACCAAAUUGUUCCAGCAACCGGCAAAUUCGAUCCUACUAUCGGUUUAGAUGUUUUAACCAGAUCUGUUAGUGUUAGCAGUAAUAACAGGAUAAAAUACGUGGCAUUGUCAUUUUCUCGCAGUCGUAGCGACGACUCGCCCGACUUCACCGAAUCGACGAAUUAUCAGACCUCUGCUACGGAUUCUCAAGGAGUUAGUAUGUCGCCAGAUGGCUGCGUUCUUAGCAACAAUUCCUCCCAACAGGGAUGGAGAUUUAAUUAUCGAGGUGAUUACAAGGAUUACAAUUUGAAGCCGAUCUGCACGCAGGAUUUAUUAUCCUGGGCGUUCCAAGUAGCGCGAGGAAUGGAGUACCUUAGCCAAAGAAAAGUGUUACACGGUGAUUUAGCCGCGAGAAACAUUUUAUUGGCAGAGAACAAUGUAGUGAAAAUCUGUGAUUUCGGUCUGGCAAAAACUAUGUACAAAGACAAUAAUUACAAAAAGAAAGGAGGUGGACUGUUGCCCAUAAAAUGGAUGGCCAUCGAGUCGAUUAGAGAUCGAAUUUUUUCGACUCAGUCAGAUAUUUGGUCAUUUGGCAUAGUUUUAUGGGAGUUUUUCACAUUGGCCAAAACUCCUUAUCCUGGAAUGGAAGCUGAGGUACAAUAUCAGAAGUUGAUCGAGGGAUACAGAUUAGAACAGCCAGAAUAUGCCACUUCCGAAGUAUAUGACAUAAUGUUACAAUGUUGGAAAGCCAAACCUACUCUACGCCCGAGCUUCACAGAACUGGUACAGAGUAUUGGUGAUUUGUUGGAGGAGAGUGUAAAAGCGCAUUACAUCAGUCUGAACGACCCUUACAUGGACAUGAACGUGUCAUUGACAGGAGAGGGUCGAAACGACUACUUGACAAUGCUUUCCGCACCCGAUCACGCGGCGCUUUCCUCACCUACUCACGAUUAUUCAAACUUGCCUGCCUCGAACUCAACCAAUUCAACGUACCUGUGCAUGAGUCCAACCAGUCAGAGUGGUUACGAUUCGGAAAUAUUUAGCCCAAGGCCAAACCAAGAAGGAACUCGCUUCGAGUUUCCGGUCACUUCCGAUUCAGAAGACGCCGUUGAAUUGUCGCCGAUGUUGAAGAAACCGGAAGAAGAGGAUCCCUAUCUGCAACCAAUAGACGUGCACGCGCGGCGAGCCGAGUUCAUUCGACAACGAGAGGCAAUGAAAAAUCAAUCGAUAGCUCAACCCAUCCCCAGUAGGGAUUUUGCAUAUUGCAAUGCUCCACAAAAUCUUCAGUUGAUAGAUCUGAAUGAGAAAAAUGAAAGAAACGAAAAGAAGGAAAGAAAUGAAAAGAACGAGAAAAGUUUUGAGGACAAUGAAACAUCGAAUAGUGGGAACACGUUGUCGAAGAAGGAUUUUAUACCGGGGAUUAUCAGGACGCAGGACAAUUACGUGAAUAUGCCGAAGCAAAAGAGCGACUUAAGAUGACCGCAAAAUAUCAUCGAAGUCGUGGCGGGGAACGAGGAUCAAAUCUACGGUGGCUGCAAACCGAGUUGAGUAUACGCGAUCUUUCACGGGAAGAGGAGGAAGAGGAAGAAGAAGAAGAAGAAGAAGAAGAAGAAGAAUGGAAUAAUUUCACAUACUUUUUGUAACUACCGUUGCUGACCUUGGUAUUUCAUGCAGCAACGCGACCUCGCCGAACACAUCACCAGGAUUCAAGCUACCCAUAUCAACCUCUUCUGCUUCACCUAGCAGACCUCCAGGGUGAGAGCUUUCUUCUCGAUUUUUUUCUGCUGCGCCCUCCGGAUGUUAAUCGCAAUAUCGUCGCCGACUUUUUCCACAACGGGCUCUUCGGUUAACCACUCGAUGUAUUCCAAGACGAGUCUCACUGCAGCCCGGAAAAGAUAGAUUCCUUUUAACCUAUUGACCUGCACCAUGAUGAUCGUUGUCGUCAAAAAUUGUCUAUUAUAAUAUACUGUCCUCUAUGCCCAGAUAUACGUGAUAUUACAAAAGUUAUUAUUUAUUUAUUAUUAAGUUAGUUUAUUGAAGGAUAGAUGUAAGAAUACAUAUGUAAGUGUAAGAUUUUCAGAAAUAUCUAGAAUAUUUAUUUGUACUUUGGUAGAGGAUACCUGUACCUAUUUGGAGAUUAAAAAAAGGAUUAAUUUAUUGCAAAGAUAAUGCAAUAAGACACAUACACAUGUAUUGUAUUAUAAUAUAAAUACUUGUAUAAUGUAAUAUAUAUAAUACUUACCCUCCUUGGAAUCAAUGACUUCCUCGCUAUUAUUUCAAUAAACGAUUCGCGAAGCGAAACUCUUCUACUGUAUGCAUGCAUCUCUGAUUUUCUUGAUUAAUCAGUUGUAACAUUAAUUCAAUGGAAACAAGAUCACAUUAUAAUUUUACAAACGCUGUCGCUCAAUUUUGUUUGAAUACUUACUAUCGGCAUACACAAAGAAGAUAAGUUCACGUUCAUUCGAUACGUGCGUGUUGUUUUAUCGAUAAACUUAUAAAGUGUGCCUUGCAACAGCGGUACGUACAUAUAAAAGAGAGUCAUAGUUAUAAUUCCAUUGAGGGUGUUUAAGCAAAUUUUUCAUCAUUUUAUAUAAUGAAUUUUAAACUUAUGUAAAGCGCCGUGCUUGGAUAUUUUAGAUACUUAUGCGUGUCAUAUGUACUCUAUUAUAUGUAUUUUCACAUUUCUCAUUGUAAUUUCUAUAAGUUGUAAAUUAAUUUAUAAUUUAACAGAAGCCCAAAGACAGAAACACGGAAUUAACGCAAACAUAAACUUGACUUCCCAAAAUGACGUACAAAGAGUAUUGAAAUAUCUCAAUGAUAUAAACUACUACUACUACUACUCAUCGUUAAUGAUCUCGCUGUCGAUGAGACAUUAAAGAAAAAGA
Frieseomelitta varia is the source of this 5924-nucleotide RNA transcript. It is a transcript of the gene named vascular endothelial growth factor receptor 1, with no coding region annotated. The transcript has 25 exons. Lineage: Eukaryota; Metazoa; Arthropoda; Insecta; Hymenoptera; Apidae. The record is from RefSeq and is a predicted model, not a curated record.